Molecule: transfer RNA, 68 nt
Filed under: Dielis tejensis
Lineage: Eukaryota; Metazoa; Arthropoda; Insecta; Hymenoptera; Scoliidae
Description: tRNA-Arg
Source: RNAcentral
UUAUAUAAAGUAAAUAAUUACAUUUAAUUUCGACUUAAGAUUCAGAUUAUAAAUAUAAUCUAUAUUCA